RNAcentral lists this ribosomal RNA (497 nucleotides) under uncultured bacterium. RNAcentral's name for it is "partial 16S ribosomal RNA". It matches the Rfam family "Bacterial small subunit ribosomal RNA", at positions 28 to 507 of the family's 1533-position model. The record is from RNAcentral.
GAUGAACGCUGGCGGCGUGCCUAAUACAUGCAAGUCGAGCGGAAGGGCGAGACGCUUGCGUGUCUGAUGAUAGCGGAGGACGGGUGUGAAACACGUGGAUACCGUACCUAUAAGACUGGGAUAACUUCGGGAAACGGGAGAUAAUACGGGAGAAUAUUUUGAACCGCGUGGGUGGAAGGUGAAAGACGGUCGUGCUGGCACGUAUAGAGGGAUCCGCGCUGCAUGAGCUGGUUGGGAAGGUAACGGCUUACCAAGGCAACGAUGCAUGGGCGAGGUGAUGGGCGGGUCGCCCGCCUUGGAGCUGAGACACGCUCCAGGCUCCUACGGGAGGCAGCAGUAGGCUAUGGUCCGCAGUGGUCGGAAGCCUUGCGGAGCAGCGCCGCGUGUGUGAUGAAGGUCUUCGGAGCGUAAAGCCCUCUUAUUAGUUGAGAACAUAUGUGUAAGUAACUGUGCACUUCUUGACGGUACUUGGUCAGAAAGCCCCGGCUAACUACGUG